RNAcentral lists this ribosomal RNA (497 nucleotides) under uncultured bacterium. RNAcentral describes it as "partial 16S ribosomal RNA". It matches the Rfam family "Bacterial small subunit ribosomal RNA", at positions 28 to 507 of the family's 1533-position model. The record is from RNAcentral.
GAUGAACGCUGGCGGCGUGCCUAAUACAUGCAAGUCGAGCGAACAGACGAGGAGCUUGCUCCUCUGACGUUAGCGGCGGACGGGUGAGUAACACGUGGAUAACCUACCUAUAAGACUGGGAUAACUUCGGGAAACCGGAGCUAAUACCGGAUAAUAUAUUGAACCGCAUGGUUCAAUAGUGAAAGACGGUUUUGCUGUCACUUAUAGAUGGAUCCGCGCCGCAUUAGCUAGUUGGUAAGGUAACGGCUUACCAAGGCAACGAUGCGUAGCCGACCUGAGAGUGUGGCGGGCAACACGGGAACUGCGCCACGGUCCAGACCCCGACGGGAGGGAAAAGUAGGGACUCUCGCGCAAGGGGCGAAAGCUUGACGGAGAAACCCGGCGUGAGUGAUGAAGGUCUUCGGAUCGUAAAACUCUGUUAUUAGGGAAAAAAAAAUGUGUAAGAAACUAUGCACGUCUUGACGGUACCUAAUCAGAAAGCCACGGAUAACUACGUG